This 3953-nucleotide long non-coding RNA is filed under the name Homo sapiens (human). RNAcentral describes it as "non-protein coding lnc-TNFAIP3-3:4". The record is from RNAcentral. Lineage: Eukaryota; Metazoa; Chordata; Mammalia; Primates; Hominidae.
CCCAGAAUAAGCUAAGACUUGAAAAGGAUACAAAACUCAAUAUUAGGAAAAUGUGAAGGGAAAUUACAAUGGGGGUUUUAAGUUUUAUUUGAGCAAGAAGAACAAGGAAGCAAUUUGCCUACUGCCUGGAGCAAGUGAGGUAAUGUUGACAGAUAUCAGACAGAAAGCAGAUCAUCCCCAGUUCAGUAUUUUCUGUAGAGAAGGCUGUUCAGAGAGAGAAAGGUCAAAUGAAAGAAGAACAUCUUGAAUUUAUACAAUGACUGGGAGAAGGCUUAAUGUGUUCUUAGAAUUGUAACUCCUAUUUGGAGAGAUUGCAAAAAGGAGCACCAGGGACAGAACCCUUGGAAGGGCCACAGGGGAUGGCAAAUGGCUCUCUCAGUUAGCUGGCUGAGCAUGUGAGCAGUCCGUACGACCAAGAUCAUUGUUGUCUCCAGCAGUGGAGAGCACCAGGUGAGGAUGGCAGCCACACUCACCUCCCAUUGACCUUGACCCUUCCGUCUCUCCUGUGCCUCCCUUAUUCCUUAAACCCUUCCCUAUUUUCCCUGGUGGUGAGAUGGGGAAGACGGAGGUGGCAAAAACUUUCUUUUGAUACAUCCCUCCUUUACAUGUGCUAAUAUUUUCAGUCAAACUUUUCAUCUUUUUGUCUUGGUCCCUUUUGCAUUAUCUUCAUAGCUUAAUUCUGAGAGGGUAAUGGACAUCACAUCACAUUUCUAAAUUAUUAGGGGACAUAUCUCAUCAUUUCCCCUAAAAAUUAUUUUUAAAAACUGUAUAUUAGUUCAAUACAAGGAAACAUAGACCAAAUUAUCCUUAGUAAAUAAUUAUAGUUUUGGUUGAAGUCACAAUUUGGUUGAAUUGUAAUUUUAGAAAGCAGUAAGAUAAUCUCAUCCAACACAUUUGUUUUAGAAAUGACAUAAUGGAAGCCCAGAGAAGCAUAAUAAUGUGUCAAAUUUUGAGGGGGCCGCAGAGCCUGGCCAGAUAUAGAACAGAUGUGUUGAUUUCUUUAUUGUUAGGGUGAAGGUUGCUAGCCAAAUAUCUAGCUUCCCCUUCAGCUGAAUUAAAAUAAAAUAUUGAAAACAACUUCUAAGUAAAACUGACUAUCUUAUGUUUACUUGGUAACAUGGUAGUUUGUUUAUUGUGGGUUAACUCUUUGCCUGACUAAAUGAAAGUGAAAAUGAUAUUUUCAGCCCUCCAGCACUUUUUUUUAAAAAAGGAGAUGCUUCUACAUACACACUUUCCUUUUUAAAAAUGUAUAGAAAAGUUAAUAAAUGAGUUCACUUUCAAAUCAAAGGUUUCUUGAUGUGACUUCUACAUAAUUUUCUGAAUUUUCCAAAUGAGGUAGAUCUGAAAUCCCCAGGGCAAUUUCUGUUCAUGGAUAAGCCGGAUAAGCCUGGACUUCCCAAGUGAUGUCACAGUGAGACUUGAGCUUCGAUAACCAAGAACUUCAAGACCAAACCAUCAUUUCAAGAGAUUAUCGAGAAAAUGAAUGUGAGAAGAGCUUGGUGAGAUGUUCAACUGAAAUAAUAUAGUCCUGUUUUCCUUAAGUACUUAUAAUUACAUGUUGAAAAUGAACUCUAAAAAUUUAUUGCUAUCCAGUGUCUGAAUAACCUGAAGAGAACAUUGUAAAAACUGUCUAGCAAGAUGUUUACAGCAAAAUAUUUUUAAGUGAUGAAAACAAUUUGCAAGACAAUCUAGAUACUACAAUUCAAGUUUGGGUAAAAAACAAAAAAAAGAAAAAGAAAAGAAAAGGAAAGAAUGGAAAAAAAAAUUACCUGUUGGUAGUUGUGAGUAUGUGGAAAAAAAUAUUUUCAAGGCAUCAAAACUAUCUGGAUGGAAACUCCCCGAACUGUUAGAUGUAGUUGCCUCUUGGACUAUAUGACUGAGAAGGCAGGAGAUUUUUAUUUUUCACUUUAUGAUCUUUUGUGUUUAUAUUGGUUGUACUUAGCAUUGCCAUAUUUAUAAUUUAAAAAUUCAAUUAGGAAAAGGUUAUUCAAGUUUGAAAACAUCACGUCUCACUUGAUUUAUGACUUAUUUAGGUUUGAAUAUAAUUAAUAUUUAGCAAGAAUGUGAAUGUGAAUUGCUUUUAAUUUCAGUAUCAAUGGCUUAGUAAAGCUCUUUCUGAUGCAUUAAGAUGUAAAGAAAUUAUACUGAACUCUCUAAUAUUAUUAUGUAAUAUAUAAUUUGCAGGAAUUUCAUCAGGGGCAUACAAGUCGUGGAUUUGACUGGGACAAUUUCUUGUACAUUUCCAUUGUUUUUAACAUCUUCCAGAGCCUGGGGAGUUUUCCUCUUCCUUGGAUUCCAGGAGAUAUGUUAAUAUUCUUUUAAUAAAUGCCUUUUUUGUGUAGAAAUGCUUGUUUGGUUUCUGAUAGUUGUAACCUAAAAAAUCUUUAGUAAGCCAUUGGUCUGCUGUGGGGAGCGUCGAGAUGAAACUGGAACGUUGUUUGAACCUAGAUCAUAAAGUGACUCCAACAUCUUCAUACCAGGGGUAGGAAACAUGCUUGGGAAACAUACUGUCUCUUUAGCUUGUCAAAUUACCUUAGAAUAAUUGUAUAAAGGUCUCUAUUCAGCACUUUCCAUUGUUUCACAUAUGAUUAUAUGAUGUCAUUGGAUGAGGAGGAUUUUCCUUUCAAUAGGCGGCUUUGGGUGUGGGCUGUGUGUCAGGGAAAUAGGAGCUGUAAUUGUCUCCUCUUAUCGUUCUAUCAGACUCUCUCAGCUUCUAGCAGGUAGGGGAGGACUGAGAUUUUAGAUACUAAUUUAUCUCAAUCUUGUUCGAAUCAAGUCUUUCUUGUUUCAGAGAGGAGGAAGCUGUGCUGUGAAGGAUCCUUUUUCAUCAUGAUUAUUGCAUCCACAGAAGCAGUGAUAAAUUCUAACAGAUAAUGCAACUCAGUCUACUUGGAUGUUCACACCUGAGACUGGAGAAGACCUGCUGCCUUCUGCAGAGCCAAACAUUCCUCACAUGCUCCUCCACAAUGCUGAGUUAAUGCAGCAAGAAUAGUCUUAUAUAGACUAUAAACUCCUGGUACACUGUGUCUACAUUGCUCACUGCAGUAUCCCAACAUCUAAGACCAUGGUCUUAGAUGUCUGGUACAGGACUGGUGCUCAGUAUGCAUUGAAUGAAUAAAUGAAUGAAUAUAGCAAAGCAUUCCAUGAUGUUCUCUUGAAUUCAUUUAUUCUUUGGAAUUUGGUUAUUUUUUUUUGUUUUUUUGGUGCAGUGGUUAUGUACUACUAGGGGUAUGAUAUGGGUUCUUCAAUAAAUCUCUUCAAAUUAUAAUAAAGAUUUAGCGCUAACCUUCUGCUCACUAUCUCCCUCUAAGUACUACAGAUGGAUGUGAUUAGCAUGCAAUUUAUCAUCUUGAUGGAAUUCAUGUCUUACAGGCCUAUGGCUUUCAAAAUUGAAGUAUCUAGAUUUAUGUUAUUUUGUCAAAUAGGAAAUGGUUUUACUCUAUUGAGAUUCCUACACUUAAAAAUUUAUAUAGACCUUAAAAAAAUCCUAAAGAAGAGUUUGAAAAGUAUGGUUAGGCAUUCUUCUAGCCAUAUAGACUAUAGAGGAGAAUAAGUUUAAGGAAAUCAUCAAGUAAAGUCAAGAACAUAGUAAAAAUGGUAACAUACCACCUUCAUGUAAGAUAAAACCAGAUAAGAUUUUAAAAAGAAGCAUUUAUGCUAUGCUUAGGAAGCCAAUCCUGUUGAAAAAACUGAUAUUGCAGCCAUAUCUGUCUGUGAGUAGUUGUAACAAUGCUGUAGGUAACAUUUCUGAGAGCAUGAUACAGUGUAGGGGGAAUCGAUCUGUGGUCUUGGGGUCCUUGGGGAAAAGGGUAUAUGAAGAGUUCUUCCAAAGUGGCCUCUAAAUCCACCUGUGUAGUAAACAGUGUCUGACAACUAAAUAAAUAAUUUCCAUGUGUACUUACGGCUGUGUUUUAAAUGGAUGCAAGGGCUGGAGUGAUAACUACAGUUCAAUU